AGUGGCGAAAGGGGCAGUAAUGUAUAGGUAACCUACCCUGGGGAUGGGGAUAGCCGUUCUAACGGACGGGUAAUACCCAGCGAUUUGGCGAGGUCGCAUGGCUUUGCCAAGAAAUGAGUUUCGCCUCGGGAGGGGCUUAUAUCGUAUUAGCUAGUUGGUGAGGUAACGGCUCACCAAGGCCGAGAUGCGUAGCGGGUGUGAGAGCACGACCCGCGCCACUGGCACUGAGACACUGGCCAGACACCUACGGGUGGCUGCAGUCGAGGAUCUUCGGCAAUGAGCGCAAGCUUGACCGAGCGACGCCGCGUGGAUGAUGAAGGCCUUCGGGUUGUAAAAUCCUGUCGAGGGGGAUCAAGGGUAACUUGAGUGAUCCCUGGAGGAAGGGCGGGCUAAGUUCGUGCCAGCAGCCGCGGUAAGACGAACUGCCCAAACGUUGUUCGGAAUCACUGGGCUUAAAGGGCGCGUAGGCGGCGAUUCAAGUCAGGGGUGAAAUCCGGCAGCUCAACUGUCGAAGUGCCUUUGAUACUGAGUCGCUCGAGGGAGGUAGGGGUCUGUGGAACUUCUGGUGGAGCGGUGAAAUGCGUUGAUAUCAGAAGGAACGCCGGUGGCGAAAGCGACGGACUGGACCUUUUCUGACGCUGAGGCGCGAAAGCUAGGGGAGCAAACGGGAUUAGAUACCCCGGUAGUCCUAGCCCUAAACGAUGAGUACUAGA
Molecule: ribosomal RNA, 713 nt
Filed under: uncultured bacterium
Lineage: Bacteria
Description: bacterial SSU rRNA
Rfam family: Bacterial small subunit ribosomal RNA
Source: RNAcentral